AACGCUGGCGGCGCGCCUAACACAUGCAAGUCGAACGAGCGAGAGAGAGUUUACUUUUUCGAGCGAGUGGCGAACGGGUGAGUAACGCGUGAGCAACCUGCCCUUCAGAGGGGGACAACAGUUGGAAACGACUGCUAAUACCGCAUAAUGUAUUCGGAAGGCAUCUUCUGGAUACCAAAGGAGAAAUCCGCUGAGGGAUGGGCUCACGUCUGAUUAGUUAGUUGGUGAGGUAACGGCUCACCAAGACUGCGAUCAGUAGCCGGACUGAGAGGUUGAACGGCCACAUUGGGACUGAGAUACGGCCCAGACUCCUACGGGAGGCAGCAGUGGGGAAUAUUGGGCAAUGGGCGAAAGCCUGACCCAGCAACGCCGCGUGAAGGAAGAAGGCCUUCGGGUUGUAAACUUCUUUUAAGAGGGACGAAGAAGUGACGGUACCUCUUGAAUAAGCCACGGCUAACUACGUG
Molecule: ribosomal RNA, 464 nt
Filed under: uncultured bacterium
Lineage: Bacteria
Description: bacterial SSU rRNA
Rfam family: Bacterial small subunit ribosomal RNA
Source: RNAcentral